Molecule: long non-coding RNA, 708 nt
Organism: Felis catus (domestic cat)
Lineage: Eukaryota; Metazoa; Chordata; Mammalia; Carnivora; Felidae
Exons: 2
Source: RefSeq, a predicted model, not a curated record
CGAAGGGAUGCCGAGAGCCCUUGGAGGCCAGGGAUUCCGUGUCUCUUCCACUGCUAUGGUCCCGGCGCCCAGCAGCGUCCAUCGUUCGACCACCAACAGCCGAGCAUCCUCUACCGCCGGGCAGGGCUUCAGGGUCCCACUCAAGGACACCCUCUCCAGGCAGAAGCCCAUCAGACUCAUUGAACUCUGGGCCACCCACAAACACCCCACUCCCAUAGGUCCCAGGGAACUUCUCUUCCCAGAUCACGCCCUUCCAAGAAGCCCAGAGACAAUCCAUUCCAGUCCAGGGAGUGGCUCAGCUUUGCCCGGCCCCCUGCUUCCAGGAACAGACCUUCAACAAUCUACAGUAUGAGGACUGGGGGCAGGAGCUCUGGAAUCAGUCAGACCCAGCUUGGAAUCGGCCUCUGUUACUCAACAGAAGCUAUCUGAGCCUCAGUUUUCCCGUCUGCAAAGUGGGUCUAUCCGGUACCCACUUCACAAGAUUGUGGUAGAAUGAAACAGCACUGAGAACAGCGUGAGCCGUCAUUAAAUGAUAGACAAGGUUAUGUUUGAGAGCAUCGUACCAUUCUGCGCCCAGAACUCCAGAGUUUGAAUCCCAACCCCACAACUUAUUCGUUAGAUGAUCCGGGGCUAAUCACUUGGGCUCUUAAUAAUAGUGCCAACCCUGUAAGGCUGUAGUGAGGAUUAAACAUAUGCAAAGCAUCUAAA